Molecule: ribosomal RNA, 467 nt
Filed under: uncultured bacterium
Lineage: Bacteria
Description: partial 16S ribosomal RNA
Rfam family: Bacterial small subunit ribosomal RNA
Source: RNAcentral
ACGAACGCUGGCGGCGUGCUUAACACAUGCAAGUCGCACGGAAAGGCCCUGCUUUUGUGGGGUGCUCGAGUGGCGAACGGGUGAGUAACACGUGAGUAACCUGCCCUUGACUUUGGGAUAACUUCAGGAAACUGGGGCUAAUACCGGAUAGGAGCUCCUGCUGCAUGGUGGGGGUUGGAAAGUUUCGGCGGUUGGGGAUGGACUCGCGGCUUAUCAGCUUGUUGGUGGGGUAGUGGCUUACCAAGGCUUUGACGGGUAGCCGGCCUGAGAGGGUGACCGGCCACAUUGGGACUGAGAUACGGCCCAGACUCCUACGGGAGACAGCAGUGGGGAAUAUUGCACAAUGGGCGGAAGCCUGAUGCAGCAACGCCGCGUGCGGGAUGACGGCCUUCGGGUUGUAAACCGCUUUAGCCUGUGACGAAGCGUGAGUGACGGUAAUGGGUAAAGAAGCACCGGCUAACUACGUG